Molecule: ribosomal RNA, 468 nt
Filed under: uncultured bacterium
Lineage: Bacteria
Description: partial 16S ribosomal RNA
Rfam family: Bacterial small subunit ribosomal RNA
Source: RNAcentral
GACGAACGCUGGCGGCGUGCUUAACACAUGCAAGUCGAACGGAAAGGCCCUGCUUUUGUGGGGUGCUCGAGUGGCGAACGGGUGAGUAACACGUGAGUCACCUGCCCUUGACUUUGGGAUAACUUCAGGAAAGUGGGGAUAAUACCGGAUAGGAGCUCCUGCUGCAUGGUGGGGGUUGGAAAGUUUCGGCGGGUGGGGAUGGAGUCGGGGGUUAUCAGCUUGUUGGUGGGGUAGUGGCUUACCAAGGCUUUGGCUGGUAGCCGGCCUGAGAGGGUAGACAGCGACAGUGGGACUGAGAGACGGCCCAGACUGCUACGUGAGGCAGCAGUGGGGAACAUUGCACAAUGGGCGGAAGCCUGAUGCAGCAACGCCGCGUGCGGGAUGACGGCCUUCGUGGUGUAAACCGCUUUCGCCUGUUACGAAGCGUGAGUGACGGUAAUGGGUAAAGAAGCACCGGCUAACUACGUG